This 497-nucleotide ribosomal RNA is filed under the name uncultured bacterium. RNAcentral's name for it is "partial 16S ribosomal RNA". It matches the Rfam family "Bacterial small subunit ribosomal RNA", at positions 28 to 507 of the family's 1533-position model. The record is from RNAcentral.
GAUGAACGCUGGCGGCGUGCCUAAUACAUGCAAGUCGAACGAACAGACGAUGAUUUUGUUGCGCGGACGUGAGCCGCGGGGGGGUGAAUAACGCGUGUAUAACCUACUUGUAAGUCUGGUAUAACUUCGGAAAACCGGAGCUAAUAGCGUAGAAUAUAUUGAACCGCAUGGUUCGUUAGUGAAAGACGGUGUUUCUGUCUCUUAUAGAUGGUUCCGGGCCGCAUUAGCUAGUUGGUAAGGUAACGGCUUAUUACGGCGACUAUGCGUAGCCGAACUGUGAGGGUGAUCGGCGGCCCUGGAACUGAGCCGCGGUCCAGAGUCCUACGGGACGCAGCAGUAGGCAAUCGUACGCAAUGGGCGGAAGCAUGACGGAGCAACGCCGCGUGAGUGAUGAAGGCGUUCGGAUCGUAAUACUCUGUUAUUAGGGAAGAACCAAUGUGUAAGGAAAUAUGCACGUAUUGACGGUAACUAAUCAGAAAGCACCGGCUAACUACGUG